RNAcentral lists this transfer RNA (66 nucleotides) under Mopalia retifera. RNAcentral describes it as "tRNA-Lys". The record is from RNAcentral. Lineage: Eukaryota; Metazoa; Mollusca; Polyplacophora; Chitonida; Mopaliidae.
UUCUAAGUAACCUAGUUUAGGUACUAAACUUUUAAUUUAGUUACGAUAAAAUAUUAUCCUUAGGAA